UAUUCCAGGCAUGGGAUGUCCACAUGUAUAGUAGGAAUAUACACGUGUGUAGGAGUUAUACACAUAGCACAUAUAUGUUACCUAUUAUUAUUAUUUCUCGGUCUCAUAGUAUUUCUAGGACUUGGACCUUGCCUACAAACCAUUCCACAGACAAAGGCACAGUGACCAAAGAUGAAAUGUCAAAUUAGGUGGGAACAGCCUCCACUUUGGAUGGAUGGAGAUCAUAAGGUGUCGUCUUGCUUUGUGUGUGAUUGUUGUGUUGCCUCCUCCACGAAGCCGGGAGCAUCUUGAGCACAGGCUCGACUCUGAGCAUCUCUGUCCCCCCAUGGUGCCUGCAGUUGGGCUCUGAGCCUGGAUGGAUGAUAGAAAGGGAGGACAGGGCGAUGGAGUGUGGCGCCAUCUUCCGGGCGGAUCCACCACCUGCAAGCACUGAAAAUGCAAAGGAAAACACGAGUGGUGAAUUCUGCUCUCGGCGCCCCAAGGUCCCCCACACAACACAAAGAUGCUCACUUAUUAAAUAUAUACGAAGCUUCUUUAUUUCACCUUAAUAAACUUUAUACUCUGAUUGCUUGCA
Molecule: RNA transcript, 574 nt
Organism: Monodelphis domestica (gray short-tailed opossum)
Lineage: Eukaryota; Metazoa; Chordata; Mammalia; Didelphimorphia; Didelphidae
Source: RefSeq, a predicted model, not a curated record